RNAcentral lists this transfer RNA (85 nucleotides) under Minisyncoccota bacterium. RNAcentral describes it as "tRNA-Ser". It matches the Rfam family "tRNA". From Rfam's summary of the family: Transfer RNA (tRNA) molecules are approximately 80 nucleotides in length. Lineage: Bacteria; Bacillati; Minisyncoccota. The record is from RNAcentral.
GGAGACGUGUCGGAGUGGUCUAACGUACCUCCUUGCUAAGGAGGCAGGCUUCAUCGCCUCGAGGGUUCGAAUCCCUCCGUCUCCG